CUCGCCGGAGCCGGAGCGCCCGCCCGAUCGCACUGUCUCCGUCGCCAACAACUUCAGCUACUUCUCCCACCGUGGUGACGUGAGCAUCGUGUUCCCUACACCACCUUGAACCUCCCUACGCCAUUCGUUUGCUCUCUACCGGGUCCUAGUGGCCGGCCGACAGUCGGCCAUGGCGACCGCCCGCUCCUAUCGUGGCCGAGGUGGUAGCAGUGAGGUAGAGCGUCCGCGAGUGGUACCAAUGGAGUCGCGGAGUUGAGGCGGAGCCGAUGCGCGCGCGCGCGGAGGCCGAGGGCCUCGCUAUCGGUCGCCGGAGUUGCGGCCGAGCCGCCGUGCGUGAGAGAGAGAGAUCUGACGGGUGGGGCUACCCUGUCAGUGGCUGAGAGAGAGAGAGAGCGCGCGGGCGUGCGCGGCGCGGACGCGGGCCGGGAGCAGUGGGCCGGUCUGCGGCCCAGUUUCGAAGCAACCCACUGCGCAGUGUCUUUUUUUUUUUUUUCUUUUGUGCAGUUUUUUGCUUGAUAUUUGAAAAUUGUGUAUUAAUUUGUGUAGUGAUCCAAAAAUAGUGAAACUUUUUGUAUAGCUUACAUAAAAUGGAUAGAGCCUAAGAAAAAUGUUAGGUUUGAUUUUCUGGUAAUUUUCAUGUAUACAUAAAUUGCCUUUGUUUAUUAAUGAAUAAACCUUCCUUGAUUUUUAAUAGUUCAUAGGUAUAUCCAAAAAUCAUGAAAUUUAAUAUGUGAGCUUGUGUU
Molecule: long non-coding RNA, 743 nt
Filed under: Sorghum bicolor (sorghum)
Lineage: Eukaryota; Viridiplantae; Streptophyta; Magnoliopsida; Poales; Poaceae
Description: long non-coding RNA (SBIC_LNC005851)
Source: RNAcentral